This 377-nucleotide unclassified non-coding RNA is filed under the name Hevea brasiliensis (rubber tree). Lineage: Eukaryota; Viridiplantae; Streptophyta; Magnoliopsida; Malpighiales; Euphorbiaceae. The record is from RNAcentral.
GUGGCCGUAUCAUUUAUUGGUGAGUUGUUGAUUUAUGCUAUAUGAUUUUUGCUAUUAAUGGGUUUUGAGUUUUUGUAUGAUUGGUUGGAGAGGGGAGGUGUUAUUAGGGAAUGUUUGGAUGAGUAAUUGUUAUUUAAUGCUGGAUGGAACUGUAGAUUGCUGAUGGUUGACUGCUAGAGAUUGGGAUUAUGAAUUUUCUUGAUACAAGUGAGAAAGAUAAGGCUUUGACUUGGAGUUUCACUGUUAAUUAGUGUUGAAUGUGUGAUUUUUGGCUUUAACUAUGGGUAGAGGUUGAUGUUUCAAUAUCAUUGAUGUUUCAAAUUUGGUGUAUUUAGUUAUUUUCCGAUUCUGCAGGAACCGAUCUGCUGAAAUCCUUU